This 59-nucleotide transfer RNA is filed under the name Oxyrrhis marina. The record is from RNAcentral. Lineage: Eukaryota; Dinophyceae; Oxyrrhinales; Oxyrrhinaceae.
AGUGGCCUGGUGGUUAGCACCUCCGGCUGGAAAUCCAGAGGGCGCGGCUUCGAAUCCCG